Podarcis muralis (Common wall lizard) is the source of this 1866-nucleotide long non-coding RNA. The record is from Ensembl. NCBI's taxonomy places the organism in Eukaryota, Metazoa, Chordata, Lepidosauria, Squamata, Lacertidae.
AUGAUUCCAUGGACACAAACCACACUGCGUUUUUUUGGUUUUGUUUUAAUGCGGCUCAUCUCUCGCUGUUCUUUGCAGCACGAAGAGGAACGGGCCUCGUGGGCCCUUCUCUCUCAGGAGAACCGGAGUCUGGCCGAGGCCUGUGAGCAAGUGGAGCGUGGCCGUCAGCGGUUGGCGCAGGAGCUGCAAGCCAAAGAAGCCCAGCUGAGCUGCCUGGAGGCUCAGCUCGCUCAGGCGACCCGACGCCAAACGGAACUGGAAGAAGAGCUGCGUAGGUGCCAAAUCGAACUGGACAAGCUGCAGUCGCAGUCCCACUUGGCCCUCCUGCCCCCCCGCUGGUGUUCCUCCGCGCCGUGGGCCGAAGGUAAGAAGCCGGAAGAUGAGGAAAGGGCACAGGGUCCUCUUAGGCCAAGCCAGCGAGCGAGAGGCGUCUCUUCCUACGUCCGGGGAUUAGAGGCUUUGCCAGAUGGAGGUGGAAUUAGCGGCUGAAGAGUCACGGGAAAGAGUCAAGGCAGAGUCUGUGACUUCGUGGCGGGGGGGGGGGGUUGAGGGAAAAGGAGGGGUUGUCAGUUGAGGGAUUUAGAUUUAUUUAGGGCAUUUGUACCCCCACUCUUCAUCCAAAAAGGCUCCCACAAGGGCCGUCCCUGCCCACAGGCUUACAAUCUGAAAACAAGACAAAACACGACACACAAGGGAAAAGGGACACGGAGGGAAGAGGAAAAUCAAAACUCUGGUGGCCUGGAGAUGGGGCGGUAGCCCACAGCAGAGUGGUUUUGCUCGUGUCUAUAUAACGUAUUUCUUGCUCUAUAAGACUCACUUUUCCCCUCCUAAAUAGUAAGGGGAAAUGUGUGUGUGUCUUAUGGAGCGAAUGCAGGCUGCGCAGCUAUCCCAGAAGCCAGAACAGCAAGAGGGAUCGCUGCUUUCACUGUGCAGCAAUCCCUCUUGCUGUUCUGGCUUCUGGGAUUCAGAAUAUUUCUUUUCUUCUUUUCCUCCUCCAAAAACUAGGUGUGUCUUAUGGUCUGGUGCGUCUUAUAGAGCGAAAAAUACGGUAACCUACUACCACAGGUAGGCUUUAUUCAAUCUGCAGGCCCAAAUUGGUUCCCCUGGCAACCAGUUCUCCCUCUGUUCUCUAGGUGGCAUUGAGGCCAAAGCAGAGCUUAGCAGGACCCUUGCAGCUGGAGCAAGUGUGAGUAUUGCUUUAAUGUGGCUUUGGAACAGCUGGUGCCCUCCAGGCUUCAGGACUCCAGCUCCCAUUAGCCAGCGCUGGUUGAAUCCGAUGGGACUUGUAGUCUAGGACACCUGAAAGGCAUCAGAUUGGCAGAGUCUGCUUUUAAAGCUGGUCUUGGACCAUGAGACUUUUCUUACUCCUUUCCCACUUUCCAGCAGAUUCAGGACAGCAGCCCUGCCGUUGGAGGCCCCUGCGGGAAGGAGAGCCCCACCGCCUCCUGGCAGCAAGAAGCGGCUUGUCCCAGUGCCCCACCCGGGAGCCCCAUCCCCACAGAGAAUGGCGAAGGGGCCCAGGCGAUGGCAUCAGAACUGGCAUCCAUGGGAGAGAGGCUCGAGAAAGAAAAUCAAGGUAUCGGAACGUGGUCUGUAGGUUUUUUAAAACCAUGCGGCCCUCAGAAUUCCGCCCGGCCCUCAGAACUCUCCCCGGACCACAAUUCUCCCUGGCCUUGCUGGGAAUGUGUGAGGCUUACCAAGCAAACGCAGCAUUUGCUUCAUUGCUCCAGCCACUUUAGACUCUGGCCCCACCCACCACGCGGCCCUCGGAAGGGAAUGUGGCCCUCGGAGUGGAACUGGUUCCCCACCGCUGCCUGAGCGGCUUUUCCUUUCCCCUCCUCUGCCAUUCAGAGUUGAGACUCGCUC